GGGGACGUAAGGCUUUCGACAGGAGUUAUUAGGUAUAGUUUGUCACAAAUCGUUUUUAAGUACGUAAAACUUAAACACAGAUAAGUGUAGAAAACAAACUAAACGCUUUUGCAGAUAAGCUAAGAGCUGUAUUCGCUACACCUCUUUAUGCUUAUCAUUAUGCAUAAGUUUGGUCAAUUAGUUUUGACCAGUGUCUACAUUCCUUAUCCCUAGUUAGGGGGUAUAGACAGUCGUUACUAGGGUAUACUAUGUUUCUUUCCUCAGUAAAGGAUCCAUAGUGAAUAUUAAUACUGAGUAGAUUAAUCUUUUUGUUAGAUUUUUUAGAUUAGUCUUACUAUAUAAAUCUAAAUAUGUUUGUACAUGGCACUAUACUUAGCUUUUGGACGUGGGUUCAAAUCCCACCGUCUCCACCA
This 413-nucleotide transfer-messenger RNA is filed under the name Candidatus Dojkabacteria. RNAcentral's name for it is "JAAZIL01 sp012800885 Standard tmRNA". It matches the Rfam family "transfer-messenger RNA". From Rfam's summary of the family: Bacterial tmRNA, also known as 10Sa RNA or SsrA, is named for its dual tRNA and mRNA-like properties. Its role is to liberate the mRNA from a stalled ribosome. RNAcentral also lists the same sequence under 1 other name. The record is from RNAcentral.